AUCCUACGGGAGGCAGCAGUGGGGAAUAUUGCACAAUGGGCGCAAGCCUGAUGCAGCCAUGCCGCGUGUAUGAAGAAGGCCUUCGGGUUGUAAAGUACUUUCAGCAGUGAGGAAGGUGGGUAUGUUAAUAGCAUACUCAUUUGACGUUAGCUGCAGAAGAAGCACCGGCUAACUCCGUGCCAGCAGCCGCGGUAAUACGGAGGGUGCGAGCGUUAAUCGGAAUUACUGGGCGUAAAGCGCAUGCAGGUGGUUUGUUAAGUCAGAUGUGAAAGCCCGGGGCUCAACCUCGGAAUUGCAUUUGAAAACUGGCAAACUAGAGUACUGUAGAGGGGGUAGAAUUUCAGGUGUAGCGGUGAAAUGCGUAGAGAUCUGAAGGAAUACCGGUGGCGAAGGCGGCCCCCUGGACAGAUACUGACACUCAGAUGCGAAAGCGUGGGGAGCAAACAGGAUUAGAUACCCUGGUAG
RNAcentral lists this ribosomal RNA (465 nucleotides) under uncultured bacterium. Its description in RNAcentral is "bacterial SSU rRNA". It matches the Rfam family "Bacterial small subunit ribosomal RNA", at positions 335 to 793 of the family's 1533-position model. The record is from RNAcentral.